RNAcentral lists this ribosomal RNA (465 nucleotides) under Vreelandella stevensii. RNAcentral describes it as "partial 16S ribosomal RNA". It matches the Rfam family "Bacterial small subunit ribosomal RNA", at positions 338 to 795 of the family's 1533-position model. Lineage: Bacteria; Pseudomonadati; Pseudomonadota; Gammaproteobacteria; Oceanospirillales; Halomonadaceae. The record is from RNAcentral.
CCUACGGGCGGCUGCAGUGGGGAAUAUUGGACAAUGGGCGAAAGCCUGAUCCAGCCAUGCCGCGUGUGUGAAGAAGGCCUUCGGGUUGUAAAGCACUUUCAGUGGGGAAGAAAGCCUUGGGGCUAAUACCCUCGAGGAAGGACAUCACCCACAGAAGAAGCACCGGCUAACUCCGUGCCAGCAGCCGCGGUAAUACGGAGGGUGCGAGCGUUAAUCGGAAUUACUGGGCGUAUAGCGCGCGUAGGCGGUCUGAUAAGCCGGUUGUGAAAGCCCCGGGCUCAACCUGGGAACGGCAUCCGGAACUGUCAGGCUAGAGUGCAGGAGAGGAAGGUAGAAUUCCCGGUGUAGCGGUGAAAUGCGUAGAGAUCGGGAGGAAUACCAGUGGCGAAGGCGGCCUUCUGGACUGACACUGACGCUGAGGUGCGAAAGCGUGGGUAGCAAACAGGAUUAGAUACCCCAGUAGUC